Daucus carota subsp. sativus is the source of this 4573-nucleotide RNA transcript. RefSeq lists it as uncharacterized. NCBI's taxonomy places the organism in Eukaryota, Viridiplantae, Streptophyta, Magnoliopsida, Apiales, Apiaceae. The record is from RefSeq and is a predicted model, not a curated record. The transcript has 9 exons.
UACACAUUUCACAUGUAUACUCGCACAAAAACAUGAAUCCAGACCAAACACCUUCAGAACCCAAUUAAACAUCUGGCCCACUACACCUAUAUAUACAUACACUCUUGCUCAUUCGAAACCCUUCUAUCUUCUUCAUCACUUUUACUUCCAAGUUGAAAACAGAUUGUUAAUGUUCUUAUUAUAGAUCUCAAUUGAGAUGGGUAGAUGGAAUCAUCGGCGCAGGUGGGUCCCUCGUCGUAACGAGGAAGAUGAACAACCUCGUCGCAGGCGCUCUCCCCCAAGUUACUACCAAACUAAAGUCGAUCCUCAAGAGGUAUUACAGAACAGUUCCCUUCCAUGGGAGCAAAAGUUUUGCCUUUUAGGUGGAAUUCCGUGGUAUAAGGUACUCGCAGCAAAAAAGUAUAUAUACUGCCAUGAGAAUGUGCUAAAAUGGGAUGAUACCGCUGGCAAAGAUGCUCUUUUUGAUGCUCAGGAACGCUUUUGCUCCAUGAUUAAUAGCCUGCCUCAUAUUCCUCCCUUACCUGAUCCGGAUAUGUAUAUUGACAACAUCGAUUGGAACCCGGAGAUUGAUCCCGGACUGAUGUCAGAGUUGGAUAAAAUAUACUUCAAUCCAGAUGAAGCGGAAAACUCAACUUCUAAUGAAAUUUCAGGUUGUAACGACAAGAAUAAGAGUUCUUUUGAUAACCCUUGGGAAUCUUGUCGUUUGGAAGAUAAAGUCGAUAUAAAGGUUUUAGCACAGAGUUGGAAUAAUUGGAGUGAUUCUCUGGACUCAAAGAAUGCUACAAAUUUGUGGGAGCAGCACGGCCAUAAUGGUGAUGUGGCUUCAAAGGACAAAAAAUGGGGAAGUUCUGUGAAUAAGCCAUUUGGUUGGAACAGGGGACUAAAUGAUAUGAGAGAGUCAACCAAUUAUGAAUCUGAUUGUGUAAAUUCUUGGAACCAAGGUGGUUUACGUCCUAAAUUACUGAAUGAAAAAGGUUGGGGAGAUGCUUCGAAAAAUACUGGUGGAUGGAAUUGUUGGAAUUACAAAUCUAAUGAGUUAGGCAAUUCAGGCAAUGUAGAUUCCUGGAAGUCGGGUCCUGGUGGAACCUCAAAUUCUGGGCAAUAUACUGAUUGUGGAAGCAAUUCUCGAAACUCAAAAUGGUCAACCAAUCAAUAUAACAACAUUGAAAAAAAUGACUCCCGAAUACCUUUUGGUGCUUGUCGCAAAAGGGAAGGAUAUCAAGAAAAUACAUCAAGGCGUAAAAGCUGGAAACAUGAGGGUGCUGACUAUGAGUCACGUCAAUUUUGGGGAAAGGUGAGACCACAGGGACAAUAUAACUGAGGUAAUCUUAAUUUUUAGGAAUAUACUACGUCGGGCGUAGUGGUCAUUUUGAAUGAAGGUUACACUGAAUCAGAAUGUACUAUGCUUUUGCUCACAAUAUGAGUAUGUAUCUUUUUAAUAUGUGAACGGACUAGAAAAUGUAUUCCUUGUUUGGUUUCUCUUGUAAUCAGAACUUUGUGGCUGAUGUUGCUAUGCCGCUCCUGUUAUCUCAGAGACCUUUAAUGACCCUUCUGCUAUAAUUUUUAGUGUGUGCGAUUAUUGAAUGUUAGUACCUUUCUGCAUUUAGUGAACACGACAUUAUUGUGGAUGUUUUACUUUUUACUUGUUGGACCUGCUUGUUAAUAUGGAUGCAGAGAAAUUUUGAUGAGAUGAGUAAUGCAUGUUGCAGGGAAGAUACAACUAACUUGGAAACCUAUAUAUGUAUUACAAGCCAACUCCACAAGUUCUGUAAAAAAGUAAAUGAAAAAGGAGGUUUUCCAAUUUACCAUCGAACAAAGGUAAAGAUGAUCCACUAGGCACAGGUGACUUGUUUGUUAGUAGAUCAUCACCUGUAAAGUGAUUGCUUUCCGGUUGAACCCAAUAUAUAUUGGGUACGACAGCAAAGAAAGAUGUUGAGGGGGAAGAGUAGAGAGACUUUAGUCGGAGCUUCUUUCAUUUGCGUAGGGGUAAGACUAGAGAAACUCCAGUAGUAGCUUCUUUCAUUUGCGUAAUAUCUAUACUUGGAUAGAGCAGGGUCGCCAUUAGCAAAAAAAACUUCCCAAAAACUUGAAGUAGGCUGAGAUGAACUAUAUAUGCAGACCAUGUGAGGUUGGGCAAUCUGAUGUUCCUUGUUUUCUUGAUUCCUGCAUAUAGCUCUGGAAGAACACUCUUUGGUGUCCUUUACCUCUUUGUUCUUUUGCAUAUUCACACUUUCCAGUCCUUGUUACUGCGUAACUGUCCUCUAUAGGGAUUCAGGUCCACUAUCUUCUAUGCGUAAAACCGAAUGAGAUUGGUUUUUUUUGAAAGCUAGGACUCUAGUUUCUGGAUGUAUUAGGCUCUGUUCACUUCACUUGAAUGGAAUCAUUUUGGGCUGAAUGGAAUGGCCAUUCCGGGCUGAAUGAAUAAUUGUGUUGUUUGGUUGGGCCAGUUGAAUGGAAUGACUAAUCCAAGUCCAUUCCUUUUGGGCUAAAAUAAUAACAAACUCAUUCCUUUUAAAACACCCGGUACAGAUUCAUUCCCGUUGCCAAAUUAAAACGCCGGGCCACGUAAAAACAGAGCUCUCCUCUCUUGCACAGCGAUUCUUCUCCUGACGAUAUCUCUCUCUACGAACAGCGAUCUCUCUCUCUCCCAAGCGCUCCAGCACUCUCUCUCUUCCAAUUAGCACUCAAGCACACACUCUCUCGGUUUCGGGGGUUUGGUUUAGGAGGUGAUGUUUUACAGUGGAAAUAUGCUUCACUAGCGGCAUUGAUUGCUGUGUCGUACUGCAUAUUACAUUACAUCAGUGAUCUUUUCCAGUGAAACAAUACAGCAGCUUGUUCCUUCAGUUGCAGAUGCAAUAUUGGUCCUCGGACAAGGAAGCAUAUUCGCUUAUACAAUUUCGUAGUUCCUGGGUGUUUGAUCUUUCUGUAGUAAGCAGGGCUGUUUCCAAAAAGAAUUAUAGCCAUGGCCCGACUUCCGUUGACAAUGAUUCAACAUAUCCGGAAGAAGAAAGCUAUUUUAGUAUAUACACUAUGGAUGCGAAUGAUUUUAUCGUUCAAUGCUGUUUUUCAUCUUAUGUUUCUCUCCCAAUUGACGAGAAAAACUUUGAGAGAGCGAUACACGAUUUUUAAGAUGGAGCGAAAUCAAUAUAUACAUAGGCUGAUUCAUGAAGGCCCUGCUAGCUGUGUUGAAAAUCUUCGAAUGGAUAAAAGAUCGUUUUAUAAGUUGUGUUUCUUGUUGGAGUCAAGGGGUUAUGUGCAACAAAGUAGGCAUGUUAACGUGGUAGAAAAAGUUGCUAUGUUUCUUUAUAUUCUAGGACACCACACAAAAAUGCGAAUUGUUCACACAGAUUUUCAAAGAUCAAAACAAUCAAUUACUAGGUAUUUUCAUGCGGUACUCAAUGGGGUUUUAAGGUUGCAAGGAGAUUAUUUUAAAAAACCUGAACCAAUUCAAAGCAACUCAACGGAUAAAACAUGGAAGCAUUUUAAGAACUGUUUGGAAGCUUUGGAUGGGACACACAUUAAGAUGACCAUACCCGUAGAUGAUAGGCCAAAGUACAGAAAUAGGAGAGGUGAAAUUACAACAAAUGUUCUUGGAGCUUGUUCACCUAAUUUGCAAUUUCAGUACGUGUUGACGGGUUGGGAAGGAUCAGCCGCAGAUGGAAGAGUCUUAAGAGAUGCUAUAUAUAGACAUAGAUUGAUUGUCCCAACCGGUACUUACUAUCUAGUUGAUGCUGGUUAUACUAAUGGGGAAGGUUUUUUGGCACCAUUUAGAGGAGAAAGAUAUCAUUUGAAUGAUUGGGAUGACGAUAAUCAGCCCACAUCUGCCCGUGAAUAUUACAAUAUGAUGCACUCGUCAGCUAGGAAUGUAAUUGAGAGAUGUUUUGGCAUCCUAAAGAAGAGAUGGGCGAUCCUUAGAAGCCCAUCAUUUUAUCCCUUGAAGACACAAAAUAGGAUCGUCUUAGCUUCUUGUAUCCUUCAUAAUUACAUUCGGAUUGAAUCAGAAUUUGAUCAAGCUGAAAUUGAGUUUGAUCAGCAUGGGCCAGAGGACCAUCAUGAGCAAAAUGAGCAUGAGGCAGACGAAGAUCACAUCACAACUGUUGGCACUUCAGAUGCAUGGACGACAUUUAGAAACAACCUAGCCGACUCGAUGUUAAUUAGUUGGAAUCAUUAGAUUUUUCUAUAAUCUUCCUAACUGGUGUAUAAGACUAUGCUAUCGGUGGUUAUAUGUCAUUUUUGUGCUGCCAUCUUUAUGUUUAAAUCACUUUGCAGAAGUUUCUAACCAUGUUUUACUUCAAUUUAUGGUGUUUGUAGGUUUAAUCAGAAAGUGAACAACUCCUGGAGUAUAUAUAUUUGGUGGCUCGCCCAAAUGGAAGUAUGCAGCUCUCUCAUUUUGUUGUUAUAUUUGGAGUAAUGAGCAUGGUCCUCCAGAACCAAAGACAUGAAGAUUUUACAUGGUCAUGUAGCGAAACUUUGGUGUACAGUUGUUAAAAUAGGUGUCUUGUAUUAGUAUCUUAAACUUGAUGGGUGCUUGUACGAGACUUGUCGGCAUUUAUUUUAUACUUAUUUUGAUGAA